AUAUCUCUCUGUACGGGAAGGAUGAGAAGCUUCGACUAAGGUUCGAUUCGAGCGCAACGAGAAAGCGUUGCCGCAGGCA
RNAcentral lists this small RNA (79 nucleotides) under Salmonella enterica subsp. enterica. RNAcentral's name for it is "partial RtT sRNA". It matches the Rfam family "RtT RNA", at positions 1 to 78 of the family's 130-position model. Rfam says of the family: This family represents a bacterial cis-regulatory element known as RtT RNA. The exact function of RtT is unknown although it is thought that it may be involved in changing the cellular response in relation to amino acid starvation. The record is from RNAcentral. Lineage: Bacteria; Pseudomonadati; Pseudomonadota; Gammaproteobacteria; Enterobacterales; Enterobacteriaceae.